GUCUAGAGUUCUGAAGGUAGCAGUCAACUUAGAUAUCUACAUCCAGAAAAAAGUAUCUUUCAAGAAUGAGAGCGAAGAAGUCAUUUUCAGGAAAAAUCUAAAAAUAAAAGGAAGAAAUAUGCUACAAUUGGAUCACCUUAAAAGUCAUUCUGAAAGGUAGAUAAACUUCAGGAAGCUAGUCUGACAAAGGAAGGGAUGAUGAGCAGUCCAAGAUGAGGAGGUCAUGUUGGAGGAUCUUCUCUUCCUUCUCUCUAUUCUGCAAAACUUAGUGAAAAAUGGACUUUGCAAUCAACUCCACUGAUAAGGAGAAAACACAGAAGGGGAAUAGGAUCAAGAUACAGAUGUGACUGACCCAAGGUAUAGUCUGGCCCUUUCUUCAAGCUAGCACUUGAAGUGGCUGCUGGGGAAGAAGAGACAACCUGCAAGCUGUGUAACCUUAUGAGCUCAAACGUCUCUUUCCAACAUGGGAACUGCAGUGUCAGCACUAGAAGCACCGCAUAACAUGGGCCCAUCAGUUCCUGCUCAAUGCAGACAGUAACCAGAGAGAGAAACCCACUCGAGCCUCCUGAGCUGAAAACAGGACAACAGGACUGGACGCAGAUCUGCCUCCCUGGUCCUCUCUCUGCCCACAGAGUGAUUGGAAUGCAGAACCAAUGGGAGCAGCAUGAAGCACUGUUACAGCACAUCUACAAAGCUACAUGCCAUCGGGAAUUAAAGCAGACUCUUGUGUUUUGUCAGCUUUAGCCAAAUAAUGUGAGCUUGCAGAGCCGUGGCCUCCCAACAGCACAAGGCCCAGAGGAAAUGGCCCAGAACAGAGGCCAACAUCCAUUAAGGGCGUCCACAGGGACAGCCAGAGUGCGUCUCCCCAUCUCCCCAGGCAGAUGGUCACACUGGCGGUUGAGCCAGUGUCUGCCCAGUGGAAGGAGGAAAGACAGAGCACGGUGGUAGCUGCCAAGCGCUGGAAUGAGCAGCAGCCACUGGGGAAUGGACUGAAGCAGAGACUUCAUGCUGCAGGGAAGAAAGUUCAGCUUAGAAGAGAGUACCCUGUGCACUGCUCCUCAGGAUGCUCCUCUUGACUCUCCUCCUCCAUCAGUCUCCUGACCACAGUCCUAUUCUAGUCCUUGGGGUCUUCCCCGCAUGGUGACCUUAAAGCAACGACACCAAAGUCCCCUCUGAUCCCACCAAAGCCACCCUAAUUCCUAAAAUCCCUAGGGCCCCUGUAGGCUCAAACCACACCCUCCACUCACCUGUUUCAAUAUGUCUCCCCAGCUGUACCCAACACUCUCUCCUGGCUCCACUGUUUCUUCACAGCCUGCCAUCCACGCACCAGCAAGCCAAGACAAGAGAUCUCCUCCCUGGACUACACUAAAAUGAUUCUCUGGCUUUUACUCUUGGACAGCUAGCUUCCUGCUCUCCUUUUUGCUGCCUGCCCACUCCAGAAGGCUGCCUGCCAGCCUUCUAGAUAUCUGACUCAGCCACUGGCUCAGCUCAGAUCAGCCUUGCUGUUCAUCCACCCCUAGUCCCAGCUUGAGGUGGGCUAGACAUUUGAUUCAAGAACCCCUUUGAUUUCGAUAUCUCUGUAGCCUCAAGGAAGAUACUCAAGCACCAGAACCCUGCUGAGCACUAGAGGAGCCUCCCUGGGGCAGUCAUCCCAGCUUCCUUCCUGAGAAGGGGGAUUCAGACAGUCCUGAUAACUCCUUUCCCUCUGCACUACUGUCCACGCUAUUCCUGUGCCUAAAACAACAUUGACAGGUCUCUGUGCUCUGUCACCAGUACUGCAACACCAAAGAAGUACCUCAGCCAGGCACCCAGCUUCUGAUCCCAGGGAGCAUUCUAUUCUCUCUCACUUGAUCACGUCCACCUCACAUGAGGGCCUGCCAUACUGCUGCAGGUUUGUGUGCAUCCCACUUCCUCUACCCAAAAGCACAAUCAUUAUGGCACACACCGUCCCCACCUUUAUGUGUCCUUCAAAAUCGAGUAAAAUACCUUGGUAGGUACCUUGGGCCUGAGUAAAUUUUACUGAGUUGAGUCAUGACCCAUUUGAUGUAUGUUGGAGAGAAACAAUAUGGGACAGCUCUGCAGGCCACUGGGUGGUGCCCCUUCCUCUGGGAAACCCAACCCCUCCCUCCAGUGCUUCAUUUGAGGUCGUGGUAAAAAUUAGUUUCCAAACCAAACCACAGGUCGGUCUCCACUCCUUCUGUGAUGACGCAGGUGUGGUGCAAACCACACCAACUCAGUGCUCCUCACAUAUCCCUUUGUGUGUUUCUGCCUUUGAUUUAUGCAAAUGAAUUUUGCUCCCCAAAUACAAGUUCCUCACCAGGAAGGCCCUAACGUUGAUUACUAUAUUUAUAUUUUAUCAAUAUUUGGGAUUCAAUUUUUGAUAUAUGUUUUCAAGGCAUCUCUAUCUGAAUGAGCCAUCGCAGAAGCAACAGAACUCUGCCUGAAAGCAAAAGGGCCAGCAGGAAAAAAGGAAAAGUCAUCUGUGUCUAGUGUUUUCUGUGUGUCAGGCACUCAGUGCUCCAGACUAUUAAUCCAUUUCAUUUCCAGUCAACUUCAUGGAGUAGCUGUAAUUAUCAUCCCCAAUUUGCAAAUGAGGAAACUAAGACAGGGAGAGCUUAAAUAACUUCACACAAAGUCAAGUCAGCACCCACAUUCUCAGCCACUUUCGACUGUUUACUGCCCAAGUUAUCAGCUGUGUUCUGGGCUCUGAGCUGGCACAGCAAGGAUGGGGUGCCAGGAGGGCUCCUCUCUGCCUCUCCAAGGAAUCCUAACUUCCCCAGGAAGUGAGGAGUGGAAGGUUCUGCAUCUCUAACUUUCUCUUCUACCUGUGUAGGGAAUUUUUAACCUCCUUGUUAGUGAUCAGCCAGGGAAAGAUGUAAAAUGCUGCUCAUUGUGCUUGCUGAACUCAAGGUACCAAAGGGUGACUCAGCAAAGCUGAGAGUCAAGAGCCAUUUCUUUCCUGGUUACUUAGAAUCCUAUGUGCAAACUAUAGAGUCUCAUGAAAAACUAAGCCUCUUUCUAACAGCCAGCUCUAGCUUGCCAGCCAUGUGAGUGGCUUCCUUGGGAGUUGAUGCCCUAGCCUCAGUCAAGCCUUUAGAUGAUCCAUCCUCAAAUAACAGCCUGACUGAAACCCCAUGGGAGUUCCUGAGCUGGAAGCACCCAGCCAAGCCCCACCUGGAUCCUGACCCCGAGAAACUGUGUGAGUUAAAUGUUUGCUGUUUAAGCUGCUAAAUUUGAGGAUAAUUUGUUAGACUAAAGUCAAUAACUAGUAAGAUUAUGCAUUUGCAUAUAUUAUCUCUUGUAUUAGGUUUUAGAUUCCUUGAAACGAUGAUUCAGUAUAUCAUGUUGUAUCUAGCACAGUGCCUAAAACCUGAUUAAGUCCUCCAGAAAUGUUCUUUGCA
RNAcentral lists this long non-coding RNA (3401 nucleotides) under Equus caballus (horse). Its description in RNAcentral is "lncRNA (ENSECAG00000056508.1)". Lineage: Eukaryota; Metazoa; Chordata; Mammalia; Perissodactyla; Equidae. The record is from RNAcentral.